Non-coding RNA from Nematostella vectensis (starlet sea anemone), 73 nucleotides. Lineage: Eukaryota; Metazoa; Cnidaria; Anthozoa; Actiniaria; Edwardsiidae. The record is from Rfam.
GUCCUUGUGGCCUAAUGGAUAAGGCAUCGGCCUCCGGAGCCGGGGAUUGAGGGUUCGAGUCCCUUCAAGGACG